This 484-nucleotide ribosomal RNA is filed under the name uncultured bacterium. RNAcentral's name for it is "partial 16S ribosomal RNA". It matches the Rfam family "Bacterial small subunit ribosomal RNA", at positions 29 to 507 of the family's 1533-position model. The record is from RNAcentral.
AGUGAACGCUGGCGGCAGGCCUAACACAUGCAAGUCGAACGGAAGAACGGUGCUUGCUUGUGGUUUCAGCGGCGGACGGGUGAGCAGUGCCUAGGAAUCUCCCUGGCAGUGCUUUAUAACGUCCGCAAACAGGCGCUAAUACCGCAUACGUCCUGAGGCAGCAAGGGGGGGAGCUUCGGACCUUACGCUAUCAUAUGAGUCUAGGUCGGACUAGCUAGUUGGUGGGGUAAAGGGCUACCAAGCCAACGAUCCGUAGCUGGUCUGAGAGGAUGAUCAGUCACACUGGAACUGAGACACGGUCCAGACUCCUACGGGAGGCAGCAGUGGGGAAUAUUGGACAAUGGGCGGAAGCCUGAUCCAGCCAUGCCGCGUGUGUGAAGAAGGUCUUCGGGUUGUAAAGCCCUUUUAGUUGGGAGGAAAAGCAGUAGGUUAAUACCUCGCUGUUCUGACGGUACCGAGAGAAUAAGCACCGGCUAACUUCGUG